This 427-nucleotide long non-coding RNA is filed under the name Sorghum bicolor (sorghum). RNAcentral's name for it is "long non-coding RNA (SBIC_LNC007624)". The record is from RNAcentral. Lineage: Eukaryota; Viridiplantae; Streptophyta; Magnoliopsida; Poales; Poaceae.
CGGCGAUGGCGGCCCUCUCCACAUGGAUUCAGCAACAACGCUGGCCCUCCUUCUCCAUGAUGCAAGCCCCUGCCCAUGGAUGGGCUCAGUGGGCCUUAGAUGGGCUCGAUGGGCUCAUCCAGGGUUUUCUCUUUUUUAUUUUUUUGUUUGAUUAACCGUGGCGGCCGUGAAACCGCCUUGGAUAAUGAUUGAUUUAUCGCGACCUUUUAUCGGAGGUGUUUCUUUUGCCCGCCUUCUAAAAUCCAAAACGACCGCCUCUAUUAAGAUUAUUGUAGUAGUGUGGUUGGCAUACAAUUCCAUUUUCCUUGUCAUUUAUUUUCUGGAGAUUUCAUGACUCUGUUAACCAACAAUCACACAAGGAACGCUGAUGACAGUUACACAGUGUAUGUGCUCGAAUUGGAGACCACGGCAAGAUCACAAACGUGUC